Molecule: ribosomal RNA, 433 nt
Filed under: uncultured bacterium
Lineage: Bacteria
Description: partial 16S ribosomal RNA
Rfam family: Bacterial small subunit ribosomal RNA
Source: RNAcentral
AACGAACGCUGGCGGCAGGCCUAACACAUGCAAGUCGAGCGAGGACUUCGGUCCUAGCGGCGGACGGGUGAGUAACGCGUGGGAACGUGCCCUUUGCUUCGGAAUAGCCCUGGGAAACUGGGAGUAAUACCGGAUGAGCCCUUUGGGGGAAAGAUUUAUCGGCGAAGGAUCGGCCCGCGUUGGCUUAGGUAGUUGGUGGGGUAAUGGCCUACCAAGCCGACGAUCCAUAGCUGGUUUGAGAGGAUGAUCAGCCACACUGGGACUGAGACACGGCCCAGACUCCUACGGGAGGCAGCAGUGGGGAAUCUUAGACAAUGGGGGAAACCCUGAUCUAGCCAUGCCGCGUGAGCGAUGAAGGCCUUAGGGUUGUAAAGCUCUUUCAGCUGGGAAGAUAAUGACGGUACCAGCAGAAGAAGCCCCGGCUAACUCCGUG